RNAcentral lists this small RNA (582 nucleotides) under Pongo abelii (Sumatran orangutan). RNAcentral's name for it is "retained intron". The record is from RNAcentral. Lineage: Eukaryota; Metazoa; Chordata; Mammalia; Primates; Hominidae.
AAUAGUUGCUGUUGCUGCACUUCCGCUUCUCUCCCAGCGAGAGAGAGACACGAGUGGCCAGGCCCAGCCGCAGCCGCAGCAGCAGCCGCCGCGGCGGCACGGAGGAGCCAGACACAAAGAGAGGGGCUGUUUGCGGGGUGGGGUGGGGGGUUCGCUAUGUCGGAUGACGAUUCGAGGGCCAGCACCAGCUCCUCCUCAUCUUCGUCUUCCAACCAGCAAACCGAGAAAGAAACAAACACCCCCAAGAAGAAGGAGAGUAAAGUCAGCAUGAGCAAAAACUCCAAACUCCUCUCCACCAGCGCCAAGAGAAUUCAGAAGGAGCUGGCGGACAUCACUUUAGACCCUCCACCUAAUUGCAGUGCUGGUCCCAAAGGCGAUAACAUCUAUGAAUGGAGAUCAACCAUUCUAGGGCCUCCAGGAUCCGUGUAUGAGGGUGGUGUAUUCUUUCUCGAUAUCACUUUUACACCAGAAUAUCCCUUCAAGCCUCCAAAGGUAAGAAAUCUCCCUGUAUGCUCAAAUUUACUAAUUCCCACAAGAGAACAACUGUUGAGGUUUUUCUAAAUUUAAUUUUUAAUCACAGAA